GGGAGGGGGGUCAGCAGGAGUGGGGAGCUAAGGCUAGGGAAGGAGAUGGAAAGAUAGACUAAUGAUAUUUUUGUCUAUUUACUCCUCUGUUAAAAAAACUAACACUGUGGGAUGGGAGGGGUACUUAAAACCCAAUGUUGGGGCAAUGUUGAAAAAAACGCGUUAAGAGGCGUAAAAUCGCGUUUAGCGUAACGUGGCGGUGGUAAAACGCGACAUAGCGCUGUGAAAUAGCGCAGUUAACAAAUAACGUCCUCUGCUUCUUCUCCGGUCCGCUUCUUCUCAGGUCCUCCGCUUCUUCGCCCGCCUGGAUUUUGGGCAUCGUCGCCCGCCUGGAUUUUGGGCUUCGUCGCCCGCUUGGAUUUGGGCUUUCGUCGUCGGAACUUAGGGCUUCGUCGUCGCUGAAAUUAGGGCUUCGUCGUCGGGCUUCGUCGUCGGGCUUCGUCUCAGAUCCACGUCGUCGUCGUCUUCGUUUCAAGUCGUCGUCCUCGUCUUCAUCUCAGGUCCUCGUCGUCGUCGUCUUCGUCUCAGGCCGUCGUCCUCGUAUUCGUCUCAGGUCCUCAUCGUGACGACGACUGAUGAGAGAGAGAGAGGGUUGAUUCGUAGAGAGAGAGAGGAGGGGGGAAGGAGAUGAUGAGGGCAGAAGAGGAUAAGAUCGGCUCUCUUUCUCUCUCUCUUUCUCUCUUUGUUUCUAGAUUAGCGGAUAAGGGUGACUGUGGGUUUUUUUUUGUUCGUUUAUGGGCUGAUUUGCACAUAUACCCUUAACUUAUGUGUAUUUUUAGAUAAGAGGAUAAGGGUGAUUGUGGGUUUUUUUUUCGUUUAUUGGCUGAUUUGCACAUAUACCCUUAAAUUAUGGGUAUUUGUGAAAAUAAUUUUUAAA
This is a long non-coding RNA of Asparagus officinalis (garden asparagus), 877 nucleotides long. RefSeq lists it as uncharacterized. Lineage: Eukaryota; Viridiplantae; Streptophyta; Magnoliopsida; Asparagales; Asparagaceae. The transcript is spliced from 2 exons. The record is from RefSeq and is a predicted model, not a curated record.